CAGCUCCUGUUUCUCUGCUUUUUUCCAGCUUUUUUUUUUAUACAUCACUAAUACUUAUAUAUAAAAAACAAGCUGGAAAAAAGCAGAGAAAGAGGAGUCG
Podarcis lilfordi (Lilford's wall lizard) is the source of this 100-nucleotide non-coding RNA. The record is from the annotation of a GenBank genome assembly. NCBI's taxonomy places the organism in Eukaryota, Metazoa, Chordata, Lepidosauria, Squamata, Lacertidae.